ACGGGCUUCGGCCUGGUGGCGAGUGGCGAACGGGUGAGUAAUACAUCGGAACGUGCCCUGUUGUGGGGGAUAACCAGUCGAAAGAUUGGCUAAUACCGCAUACGACCUGAGGGUGAAAGCGGGGGACCGCAAGGCCUCGCGCAGCAGGAGCGGCCGAUGUCUGAUUAGCUAGUUGGUGGGGUAAAGGCCCACCAAGGCGACGAUCAGUAGCUGGUCUGAGAGGACGAUCAGCCACACUGGGACUGAGACACGGCCCAGACUCCUACGGGAGGCAGCAGUGGGGAAUUUUGGACAAUGGGGGCAACCCUGAUCCAGCAAUGCCGCGUGUGUGAAGAAGGCCUUCGGGUUGUAAAGCACUUUUGUCCGGAAAGAAAACCUCCGCCCGAAUACGGUGGGGGGAUGACGGUACCGGAAGAAUAAGCACCGGCUAACUACGUGCCAGCAGCCGCGGUAAUACGUAGGGUGCGAGCGUUAAUCGGAAUUACUGGGCGUAAAGCGUGCGCAGGCGGUUUGACAAGACAGGCGUGAAAUCCCCGGGCUUAACCUGGGAAUGGCGCUUGUGACUGUCA
RNAcentral lists this ribosomal RNA (569 nucleotides) under Ralstonia sp. HBH2. RNAcentral describes it as "bacterial SSU rRNA". It matches the Rfam family "Bacterial small subunit ribosomal RNA", at positions 73 to 638 of the family's 1533-position model. Lineage: Bacteria; Pseudomonadati; Pseudomonadota; Betaproteobacteria; Burkholderiales; Burkholderiaceae. The record is from RNAcentral.